ACAGGGUGACAGGUGGUGCAUGGUUGUCGUCAGCUCGUGUCGUGAGAUGUUGGGUUAAGUCCCGCAACGAGCGCAACCCUCGACCUUAGUUGCCAGCAUUCAGUUGGGCACUCUAAGGUGACUGCCGGCUAAAAGUCGGAGGAAGUGGGGAUGACGUCAAAUCAUCAUGCCCCUUAUGUUCUGGGCUACACACGUGCUACAAUGGCCGGUACAGACGGAGGCGAAGCCGCGAGGCGGAGCAAAUCCGAAAAAGCCGGUCUCAGUUCGGAUUGCAGGCUGCAAUUCGCCUGCAUGAAGUCGGAAUCGCUAGUAAUCGCAGGUCAGCAUACUGCGGUGAAUACGGUUCCCGGGCCUU
This 355-nucleotide ribosomal RNA is filed under the name uncultured Pelotomaculum sp. Its description in RNAcentral is "bacterial SSU rRNA". It matches the Rfam family "Bacterial small subunit ribosomal RNA", at positions 1026 to 1382 of the family's 1533-position model. Lineage: Bacteria; Bacillati; Bacillota; Clostridia; Eubacteriales; Desulfotomaculaceae. The record is from RNAcentral.